Molecule: long non-coding RNA, 738 nt
Organism: Entelurus aequoreus (snake pipefish)
Lineage: Eukaryota; Metazoa; Chordata; Actinopteri; Syngnathiformes; Syngnathidae
Exons: 3
Source: RefSeq, a predicted model, not a curated record
UGAAGGUGGUGGUGUCCAAGAAGUCGACUGACGUUGGGCUGGUGGUCGACCUGAUGGUGAUGUUUGGGUUGUGAGUGUUCAGCGUGUUUAAGAAUAUGAGUGUUGGGGAAUGUGAAUGGUUUUGAUCUUGUCUAUGAAGUCACAUGUUUCUUUGAGGUUACUGCUAUGUUUGACGGAGAGUGGUAUCGAGUAGUGAUCUAUUAAUUCUGCCGUCCUAUAGGUCUCGCUGCCGCAGUCGGACACAAUGGGCCUGCCCGGAGGGAUCUCGUGGGGCCUGCUCCACUUGUGUGGCUCCUUGUGGAUUUUUGGGAGCAUGUAGAACCUGCGGGGGCGAGGGUCUGAUUCGCCUGAGAGGCUACGUCUCACGUCAGGUUGGCCGUGACAGCAGGUGCGCAGCCCGAUCCGAACGAGGGGAGCUCAUCAGCCUGGACCUUCACAUGGAAGUCUGGAGGCAGCAGUCCAGCAUCCUCUCUGUCACGCACACACACACACACACACACACACACACACACACACACACACACACACACACACACACACACACACACACACACACACACACACACACACACACACACACACACACACACACACACACACACACACACACAGCCCGGGUGAACUACUACUGCAGGAAGAGAAGGUCCCUCCCCUCCAUCAUGUGCAGAGAAGAGAGUGAGGGAGGUCUGAGAGGACUUGAUGCAUUUAGCACAAGCUGCAUCCAACAUCACAAGCUGC